RNAcentral lists this ribosomal RNA (329 nucleotides) under uncultured eukaryote. RNAcentral's name for it is "partial 18S ribosomal RNA". It matches the Rfam family "Eukaryotic small subunit ribosomal RNA", at positions 1470 to 1796 of the family's 1831-position model. The record is from RNAcentral.
CCCUUAGAUGUUCUGGGCCGCACGCGCGCUACACUGACGAUGGCAACGAGUUUUUCCUUCGCCGAAAGGUGUGGGUAAUCUUUUGAAACAUCGUCGUGCUGGGGAUAGAUCAUUGCAAUUUUUGAUCUUGAACGAGGAAUUCCUAGUAAGUGCGAGUCAUCAGCUCGCGUUGAUUACGUCCCUGCCCUUUGUACACACCGCCCGUCGCUACUACCGAUUGAAUGGUUUAGUGAGGACUCCUGAUUGGCGCCGCCGCCCCGGCAACGGAGCAGCGGACUGCCGAAAAGUUGUUCAAACUUGAUCAUUUAGAGGAAGUAAAAGUCGUAACA